GCGGUAGCCGGUAUUAACUGAAUAUAAACUGAAUCUUCCAACCUGCGCCGCGUGAAGGGAGAGCGAGGGUUUCUCCCCGAGAGUCUCUAGGAGAUCUCUGUAAUCUGAUCUUUCAGAACCAAAGAUGGGAGUGUGGUGGUGAAAGACUGAUCCCUGUGUAAGAGCUGCAGAAAAUGAUCAACUUCCGGGGAUCAGUGACACUCCAGGACGUGGCUGUGGACUUCACCCCAGAAGAGUGGCAGCUGCUGGACUGUGAUCAGAGAACCUUGUAUUGGGAUGUGAUGCUGGAGAACGUUAGAAACCUCAUCGCAGUGGACCCUGAGACUCAAGGAGACAGACCUGAAUUGUGAGGUAGUCGUUUGUGUCUAGCACUUUGUC
This is a long non-coding RNA of Suricata suricatta (meerkat), 378 nucleotides long. RefSeq lists it as uncharacterized. NCBI's taxonomy places the organism in Eukaryota, Metazoa, Chordata, Mammalia, Carnivora, Herpestidae. The record is from RefSeq and is a predicted model, not a curated record. The transcript is spliced from 4 exons.